CCCAACACCGGAAAGAGUCAACUUAAAUGGCCGCAGUUAAUCAUUGCCAUUGUCAUCGUCCGACUAUGUUGAUAACUUCUUGGACUGAUUUGAAUUCUGGUCGUCGAUUUGUCAAACUGCAAGAGUAAGUAAUUGAGAGUAAGUAGUUGAUAACUUCUUGGACUGUGUUAAAUUUAUACUGAUGGAUACUAAGUGCUAGUAAUGAUAGUUUUUUAUGAUAUGUUUCUGCAUUAGUGUUAAUUGUACUUUGAUGAUUAUUAUGUAUACACUGGAAAACAUUGUAGUAUAUAUUAGCAUGUUAGUUUAUGUGUGACAGCUGGGCACUUAUUGAUGUUAAUUUUUUUUUGACAGCCUCAUGGUUGCGGGUAUUUCAUGUGGUAUGAUCCUCCGAUGCAGCCGAGAGCCAUUCAAGUGAUUCCUGGUUUGUUGAGGAAAUUGAGGGCUCUUGAAAAUGAAGCUCAAAAUAAUAGA
This 471-nucleotide long non-coding RNA is filed under the name Panax ginseng (ginseng). RNAcentral describes it as "long non-coding RNA (PGIN_LNC007279)". The record is from RNAcentral. Lineage: Eukaryota; Viridiplantae; Streptophyta; Magnoliopsida; Apiales; Araliaceae.